CUGAUUCGGCGUGGCCUUGGCUGCACGAGUCCUUUUGUCCAUCAGCUUACACCAACAGAUGUGGAGACUCACUACAAGAUGGUAUGUUUCGUUAGAUCUGUUUUUUUCUUUGUGUUUUUUUGUAUAAUUUCAUUGCUUUCUGAACUUGUAGUAUUUUAGGAACACACUUUUUUCUUUGUUUUUUGAAGUGUACUGCAAUGUGUUUUUAUUUCUUGUUUUUAUUUUUUUGCUUGUGUGCAUGUAGCUUAUGUUUAUUUUACAUGGUUAUAAUAUGUGAACUGCUUAUAUAUUAGCUGAGCACUACAUAUUUCUACAUUUUUCCCAAUUUGUAUGGUGUGUACUACAUGUAGCUAGUCUCUACUACUGCAUGAUAGUUCGAAGCGUACUGCGUAUUUGCAAGUUCCAUACUGCAUAUUGAAAUGCAUUUUAUAUGUACUACUUGUUGGACUAUUGUGCACUUCAUCUAUCUCUAUGCACAGUAUGAGAAUUGUACUGCUAGUUUCGUUCUCAAACAGUUUUAUUAUUUUUUGCAGAAAAUUCCUCAACGAGCUGUUAGGUAUGUCUGGCUCAAGAAGAAAGGAAUUCUUCAAGUUGUUCUUGGUAAUGGAUACCUUAAACCAGCCAAGUACAGUGUAGGCGUUGAUGGGCGGCUGUGUCUGCACAAAGGGUGGA
This 672-nucleotide long non-coding RNA is filed under the name Triticum aestivum (bread wheat). RNAcentral's name for it is "long non-coding RNA (TAES_LNC016492)". The record is from RNAcentral. Lineage: Eukaryota; Viridiplantae; Streptophyta; Magnoliopsida; Poales; Poaceae.